RNAcentral lists this ribosomal RNA (417 nucleotides) under uncultured bacterium. Its description in RNAcentral is "bacterial SSU rRNA". It matches the Rfam family "Bacterial small subunit ribosomal RNA", at positions 355 to 787 of the family's 1533-position model. The record is from RNAcentral.
UGGGGGAUAUUGCACAAUGGGCGAAAGCCUGAUGCAGCGACGCCGCGUGAGGGAAGACGGUUUUCGGAUUGUAAACCUCUGUCGAGGGGGACGAAGUGCGUGACGGUACCCCUUGAGGAAGCCACGGCUAACUACGUGCCAGCAGCCGCGGUAAUACGUAGGUGGCAAGUGUUGUCCGGAAUUACUGGGUGUAAAGGGAGCGUAGGCGGGGAUGCAAGUUGAAUGUAUAAACGGCCGGCUCAACCGGCCGAAGCGUUCAAAACUGCAUUUCUUGAGUGGAGUAGAGGCAGGCGGAAUUCCUAGUGUAGCGGUGAAAUGCGUAGAUAUUAGGAGGAACACCAGUGGCGAAGGCGGCCUGCUGGACUCUAACUGACGCUGAGGCUCGAAAGCGUGGGUAGCAAACAGGAUUAGAUACCC